GUGCAAUGAUGUAUUUGUCAACACAUCAUUCUGAAAAAAAAAUUAUGUGAUGACUUCUGUGACUGAGCACA
RNAcentral lists this small nucleolar RNA (71 nucleotides) under Cavia porcellus (domestic guinea pig). RNAcentral's name for it is "Small nucleolar RNA SNORD63". It matches the Rfam family "Small nucleolar RNA SNORD63". Rfam says of the family: snoRNA U63 is found in both humans and mice. U63 is a member of the C/D class of snoRNA which contain C (UGAUGA) and D (CUGA) box motifs. Lineage: Eukaryota; Metazoa; Chordata; Mammalia; Rodentia; Caviidae. The record is from Rfam by way of RNAcentral.